This 167-nucleotide ribosomal RNA is filed under the name Cladophialophora sp. RNAcentral's name for it is "partial small subunit ribosomal RNA". It matches the Rfam family "Eukaryotic small subunit ribosomal RNA", at positions 1352 to 1541 of the family's 1831-position model. The record is from RNAcentral. Lineage: Eukaryota; Fungi; Ascomycota; Eurotiomycetes; Chaetothyriales; Herpotrichiellaceae.
UAAAUAGCUCGAUUGACUUUGGUCGGUCGCUAGCUUCUUAGAGGGACUUUUGGCUCAAGCCAAUGGAAGUACGAGGCAAUAACAGGUCUGUGAUGCCCUUAGAUGUUCUGGGCCGCACGCGCGCUACACUGACAGAGUCAGCGAGUACAUCACCUUGGCCGAAAGGU